This 2221-nucleotide unclassified non-coding RNA is filed under the name Haliotis rufescens (red abalone). RNAcentral describes it as "bTB/POZ domain-containing protein 6-A-like, transcript variant X1". The record is from RNAcentral. Lineage: Eukaryota; Metazoa; Mollusca; Gastropoda; Lepetellida; Haliotidae.
CUUACAUGAAUAAAUUAACCGUAAAUCGCCAUUGUUUUUUCAAGUGAGGUCAAGCGAAGAUUUGUCAGCGCUGGAAACGGAAAUUUGGACAUGAAUGGACCCUUGACAUCCAUAUACGCAAUAGGUGGAACUGGAAGACAUGCUUUUGCAAGAUACGUACUUUAGUUUUGUGAUUGGUUGUUACCAUGAAUGAGCCUGACAACAGCCUCACAUUUGAUAGCCAGCCAAUGCCGACUUCGGAUGAAGAUUCCCAGUACCGAUAUGGGAGCCAACUUUCACAGAUACUCAGGCUGUAGACAUUGAUGCAACUAUCCCCCCCCCUCGCAGGCGGUCACCAGUGAUGAAGCUUAAGGUCCCUCAUCAAAACAAAGCACUAGUUAUGAGGCUUCUGUACUAUACAUCUCUAUUUCGGACGAGGAAUCCCAGUCAAUCAUUCUGAAGAAGAGACGUACAAUUACUGUUGGCCCUUUUUUGUGUGACUGAGGAUACUCCCCCAUACACGUCCAUGAGGGUAGUGCCUUAUGUGGUCAGAUGUGUUUGUAACUAAUUUUUCUUGCAUAUGAGGAUAUUCCCCAGAUCAGUCCAAACCAGUAGUGCUUCAUUUGGCUUGUCCUUCCUUCAAACGGCUCCGACAGACAGACAUGGCAGCAGGAUCUGGAUUCGUGGAUAACUGGCAGAGCGGGAGGUCCGUGGUUGAGUGUAACCACCACAUGCUGACCUCGGAACACAACUCUGACGUCACCUUCCGGGUUGGCAAAGGUGAAAAGCCCAUCCGGGCACAUCGCUAUGUGCUCACCAGCCGAAGCUGUGUCUUUGAUGCAAUGCUGUGUGGCCCCCUGGCGGAGAAAGAUGACAUCAAGAUACCUGACGUCGAGGCAGGCAUAUUCUCAGAGAUGUUGGUGUACUUGUACACAGAUGACGCGACUGUCACACCUGGGAAUGUCACUGGAUUGCUGCUCCUGGCCACGAAGUACACCGUGGGGGGUCCCUUAAACUUACAGACUAGUUACCCCCUUCCCCCAAACUUACAGACUGGUUACCCCCUUCCCCCAAACAUACAGACUAGUUACCCCCUUCCUGAAAACUUACAGACUGGUUACCCCCUUCCCCCAAACUUACAGACUGGUUACCCCCUUCCCCCAAACGUACAGACUAGAUACCCCCUUCCCCCAAACUUAUAGACUAGUUACCCCCUUCCCCCAAACUUUCAGACUGGUUACCCCCUUCCCCAAAACUUACAGAAUAGUUACCGCCUUCCUGAAAACUUACAGACAUGUUACCCCCUUCCAAUAAACUUACAGACUAGUUGCCCCCUUCCCACAAACUCACAGACUGGUAACCCCCUUCCCCAAACUUACAGACAUGUUACCCCCUUCCCAUAAACUUACAGACAUGUUACCCCCUUCCCAUAAACUUACAGACUGGUUACCCCCUUCCCUUAAACUUACAGACUAGUUACCCCCUUCCCAUAAACUUACAGACUGGUAACCCCCUUCCCCCAAACUUACAGACUGGUUACCUCAUUCCCGAAAACUUACAGACUGGUUACCCCCUUCCCCCAAACUUACAGACUGGUUACCCCCUUCCCCCAAACGUACAGACAUGUUACCCCCUUCCCUCAAACUUACAGACAUGUUACCCCCUUCCCCCAAACUUACAGACAUGUUACCCCCUUCCCCCAAACUUACAGACAUGUUACCCCCUUCCAUCUAACAUACACACAAGUCCCCCCUCCCCCCAAACUUAAGGAAAUACGGUUUCUAUUCGACACGACCUGGCCACAAACUUAGUUAUCAUACAGUUCUAAGAUUCACUAAAUCAACUCUCAUAAUAUAUUAUCACAUAACUCAACCUGAACGAGACUUUUUUAAUGAGCUGUUAUUGAAUCGUUCAGAGAAGAAUUGCUUGUGUGCGUGCGUACUUGCAUGCGUGCAUGCAUUCGUAUAUUCCAGAAACAAUGGAUGCGACAUUUGACUCGUGUGAAAUUCAUAACACUUCACGCCAGAACUGCUUUGUCCGCCUCAACGACACAGGAUGGCAAAGUAAGGCAAGAAAAUACUGAUUAUGUGAAAAUGUCAACCACUGGCGUAAAUAUCAACUUUGUCAAGAAACCACAUGAGAAAAGCACGUUAUUCGACAAGAAAAGACAAGACAAAUAUCCUCUUUGCAUGCUUUCGUAUCUUUAUGUAGUUGCUAAAAAGAAAUAAACAACUAUCUUGUG